Molecule: ribosomal RNA, 107 nt
Filed under: Ovis aries (sheep)
Lineage: Eukaryota; Metazoa; Chordata; Mammalia; Artiodactyla; Bovidae
Source: RNAcentral
AUCUGCGGCCAUACCACCCUGAACGCACCCGAUCUUGUCUGAUCUCAGAAGCUAAGCAGGGUCAAACCUGAUUAGUACUCGGAUGGGAGAAAUAAAUGAUGCAAAAU